UUCUCCGGCUCGGCACUCAAGAGUUGCGACUCAAGAGUCCCGACCGCUGGGGUUACGUUUCAGUCUGUGAGCAGCUGCGUGACCUGCACGACGAUCGGGGAGCGAUCCUCGGCUUUCUGCUUCUGGCUUCAGUGACUGAAAGACGUGAACAGUGUGAUCAAUCAGUAAGAACUGGAAAGUGUGUGAAGAAAAUUGUACGGACACGUCGAACGAUGGUGACUUGAAUACUUGAGACCUGAUCGGGGUGAUCGCGGAUGCUGGAAGGAGAUGAGGAAGAUCUGGACAAGACCAGCUGGCACCUAGUUACGGAUUGCGAAGGCGGCGGCGCAGGAGCAGCAGCAGGAGCAGAGGCACCAGGAGUUGGAGGUUGUCGAUGGCCAAGUGGCCAAGUACCAAGUACCAAGUACCCAGCGUCCAAGUCGCCAGAAGUUGCCGACUCACAAUGUGUGUGCGCAAAGGCUUUAAGAAAUGCCGAAUUCCAGAAGCCGCAGUACAAUCAGUUGAAUUAAAAAACGAGCGCACAGACAGAGGACGACGUCUGGAUGGGAUUCGGAUUGGGGAUGUGGAUGUGGAUGGGGAUGGGGUGCCUCGGCCUGCAGGGGCUUCCAGAGGAUCGCCGGCGAUAUCAUCGCGUGGUGAGCGCGGGCUAGGAAAUUAAGAGGACAUUGUGGCGGCAUGCGGUUAGAACUCGCAGCGGCGGCUUAAACACAAAAUCCGCGGAGGAGAUUCCUUGCGUGGCUGCGUUGUUGGUGGCUUUUGGACAGCUGGACGCUGCCUGACAGAGGUCGCCCUCGUACGUAAUCGACGAGCAUUGCAAAUGCUUGUGUCCUCCGCCGCCUGCGUCUUGUGCUGCGCACGUGGCCAUGUUGCAGGCGCAGCAGCAGCAGCCGCAGCAGCCGCAACAGCAGCAACCGCAACUGCAAGCAGCAAAUCAUUGAAAUGUCGUUAGAGGCUCGAGCGGCACGCAGCUUCGAUAGUCAGCGAAACCGCAAAAUGCUUUUAAUUUCUCAAACUGAUAUGCACCCGUGCUCCCACUGCCGAGGAGGAGGCCAGGGCCAGAGGUUCGGUCUUUGUUUCAUUCCUCGGGUUUUCCAUGCCAGCUAAUUUGGUGGAGAACGUAAUGAUGAGGAAUUGGGGGUAAGGUUCACAGCACUAGGUUCGAGCAGAAAGGAUCACAAGAGGUACUUAGUACAGUAGUAAGCGGCUGGCUAUCGUGAGGGAAAGAACCAUUUCAUUCGGAGUUUAAGCAAAUACACAAUAAAGCUGAU
Molecule: long non-coding RNA, 1268 nt
Organism: Drosophila erecta
Lineage: Eukaryota; Metazoa; Arthropoda; Insecta; Diptera; Drosophilidae
Exons: 2
Source: RefSeq, a predicted model, not a curated record